This 493-nucleotide ribosomal RNA is filed under the name uncultured bacterium. RNAcentral describes it as "partial 16S ribosomal RNA". It matches the Rfam family "Bacterial small subunit ribosomal RNA", at positions 29 to 507 of the family's 1533-position model. The record is from RNAcentral.
ACGAACGCUGGCGGCGUGCUUAACCCAUGCAAGUCGAACGGUGAAGCGCCUUCCUUUUUGGUGGGUGUGGAUGAGUGGCGAACGGGUGAGUAACACGUGAGUAACCUGCCCCCUUCUUCUGGAUAACCGCAUGAAAGUGUGGCUAAUACGGGAUAUUCUGGGUCUGUCGCAUGAUGGGUCUGGGAAAGAUAUUGUUUCGGUGGGGGAUGGGCUCGCGGCCUAUCAGCUUGUUGGUGGGGUGAUGGCCUACCAAGGCGGUGACGGGUAGCCGGCCUGAGAGGGUGGACGGUCACACUGGGACUGAGACACGGCCCAGACUCCUACGAGAGGCAGCAGUGGGGAAUAUUGCACAAUGGGCGCAAGCCUGAUGCAGCGACGCCGCGUGAGGGAUGGAGGCCUUCGGGUUGUGAACCUCUUUCGCCAGUGAAGCAGGCCUGCCUCGUUUGUGGGUGGGUUGACGGUAGCUGGAUAAGAAGCGCCGGCUAACUACGUG